RNAcentral lists this long non-coding RNA (537 nucleotides) under Ailuropoda melanoleuca (giant panda). RNAcentral describes it as "lncRNA (ENSAMEG00000025140.1)". The record is from RNAcentral. Lineage: Eukaryota; Metazoa; Chordata; Mammalia; Carnivora; Ursidae.
GACAGUUAGGCAUCUUGGAUUUGGGUUCUGUCUUCUAGGAGAGCUGGCAGAACCCAUUGUGUAUUUACACUGCAGCUGCCUCACUCUGCUAGGUCCCAGGCCCUGCAGCUGCAGCAGUUCUGGAAGAUGCAAGACCGGCAGAAGAGUGAGGAUGAUGCCUGCAGUGUCUCAGAAGGCUGGAGUCCCUGAAGGAUGAGAGCGCAGAGGAGAUGGAGAGGGGCCUGGCCAGUCCCCAAACAGGACCUUCGAGUGAUAUGCCGUGUUCUUAAAAAAAAAAAAUCCAAGGAUUCCAAAGAAAUUAACUGAGAUGCAGAGGAGGCCAGGAAGGCCAGGUUAAACAUUGAAUAAGAAAUUGAAUCUGCUUUUUCCAUGGAAAUCCAGCUCACACUGGCCAUGCUCUUCUCUUGUCUGCCUGCCUCAUGCUAUUCUGCCAACUGCUUCAGGGCAGCAUUUUCCGGAGUUAUUAAACACCCAAGCUUAAUGAGAGUGCACUUAUGGUUUCACUUAGCAAACACCUUCACUGCUCUUCCACGGUGA